GGCUGAAAUUCGCCUUCAUGAAGCUGGAAUUGCUAGUAAUGGCAGGUCAGCAUACUGCCGUGAAUACGUUCCCGGGCCUUGUACACACCGCCCGUCACACCAUGAGAGUUGGGAAUACCCGAAGCCUGUGAGCUAACUUAUAGAGGCAGCAGUCGAAGGUAGAAUCAAUGAUUGGGGUGAAGUCGUAACAAGGUACC
This 197-nucleotide ribosomal RNA is filed under the name uncultured bacterium. Its description in RNAcentral is "partial 16S ribosomal RNA". It matches the Rfam family "Bacterial small subunit ribosomal RNA", at positions 1303 to 1500 of the family's 1533-position model. The record is from RNAcentral.